AGUGAACGCUGGCGGUAGGCCUAACACAUGCAAGUCGAACGGCAGCACAGUAAGAGCUUGCUCUUACGGGUGGCGAGUGGCGGACGGGUGAGGAAUACAUCGGAAUCUACUUUUUCGUGGGGGAUAACGUAGGGAAACUUACGCUAAUACCGCAUACGACCUACGGGUGAAAGCAGGGGAUCUUCGGACCUUGCGCGAUUGAAUGAGCCGAUGUCGGAUUAGCUAGUUGGCGGGGUAAAGGCCCACCAAGGCGACGAUGCGUAGCUGGUCUGAGAGGAUGAUCGGCCACACUGGAACUGAGACACGGUCCAGACUCCUACGGGAGGCAGCAGUAGGGAAUAUUGGACAAUGGGCGCAAGCCUGACCCAGCAAUACCGCGUGAGUGAAGAAGGCCUUCGGGUUGUAAAGCCCUUUUGUUGGGAAAGAAAAGCAGCAGGUUAAAACCCCGCUGUUCUGACGGUACCCAAAGAAAAAGCACCGGCUAACUUCGUG
Molecule: ribosomal RNA, 492 nt
Filed under: uncultured bacterium
Lineage: Bacteria
Description: partial 16S ribosomal RNA
Rfam family: Bacterial small subunit ribosomal RNA
Source: RNAcentral